UCCUCUUUCUUCUUCCUCUUCUUGUUUUCUUCAUCUUUCUUCUUCUUUUUCUUCCUUCUUCUUUUUUCUUUAGGGGAGAAGCACAAGACACAAGUUCCAUGAGUUUUUAUUUUCUUUUCAUUCUGCUGGGAUUUUCCAUUUAGUCUCUGCUAGCAUUGUGGCAAAAGGCCAAAAAAGCCUAAAUCUGAAACAUGCCUGACAAAGACAUCUCCUUGCUGACUUUUAUUUUGUUUUUUUUCAGACAGAGUCUUGUUCUGUCAUUCAAGCUGGAGUGCAGUGGUGUGAUCUCGGCUCACUGCAACCUCUGCCUCCCUUCCCAGAUUCAAGUGAUUCUCUUGCCUCAGCCUCCCAAGUAGUUGGGAUGCCCAGCUAAUUUUUAUAGUUUUCGUAGAAUCAGGGUUUCGUCGUGUUGGCCAGGCUGGUCUCAAACUCCUGACCUCAAGUGAUCCAUCGCCUCGGCCUCCCAAAGUGCUGGAGUUACAGGCAUGAGCUCCCAUGCUGGGCCUGGCUGACUUUUUUACAGCUUUGCUUCUUCAAGCCUGAUCCUUGGUCCAGCCGCAUGGGCAUCAUCUGGGAACAGACUCUCAGACCCCAUCCAUCACUACUGAAUCAGAAUCUGCAUGUUAGCAAGAUCCCAAGGUGAUGUGUGUGUGUAUUAAAAUUUGGAACCACUGUCUCAUAGUAAUUGUAAGAGUUACAAUCUAAGGUUGGUGGAGGAGGAAAGAAGAAGAAACAGGAGUCUGCUUGUGGAGGGGACAUGUAUUUGUUUCCUAAGUCUGCUAUAACAAAAUACCACAAAAUUUCUAAAACAAUAGAAAUUUAUUUUCUCACAGUUCUGAAAACUAGAAGUCCAAAGUGAAGGAGUCGGCAGAGCCAUGUUCCUUAUGAAACUCUGGGAGGAAUCCUUCCUUGUGUCUUCCAGCUUCUAGGGGUGACCAUGGAAACUUGCAGUUCCUGGGUUUGCAGCUCUAUUACUUCAGCCUUUGCUCCUGUGGUCACAUGGCAUUCUCCCUAUGUGUCUGCCUUUUAAAUUGUGUUUUUUUGUUAUUUUUUUUUUUAGACAAGAGUCUCACACCGUCGCCCAGGUUGAAGUGCAAUGGUGCGAUCUUGGCUCACUGCAACCUCUGCCUCCUGGGUUCAAGCGAUUCUCCUGUCUCAGCCUCCCAAGUAGCUGGAACUACAGGCAUCCCCUGCACCCCCCGAACCCGGGAGGGAAAUACAACACAUGGGAUUAUUAUUGCUGAUGACACCAGAUAAUAUUUUGCCUAAACUCCUAAGGUAAGUGCUCUAUGAAGACCCCAUUCAACCCAAUCCUUUGAAAUGGCUCACUUCCCAUUUAAACCCUAUUAAUCUUUUACUUCAUGAAGGCAACAGGUGGUUUAGAAAAGAGCCAAUAGAAAGAUAAUUUUUGUCCUUCAGGAUCAGUGCCAAUGGAAAAAAGUGACCUGAAAUACAGAUCUCAGACCUGACAUGAUGAAAAUCUAAUGCCACAGCUGUUGUCUCUCAGAACUGUCACUCAUCAUGUUUUAAUUUCACAGUUUUGAUUUAAUCUUUUCUAAAUACAGCACUGGAUAAAUACAGAACAAGAUAACAAGAGUUCCCAGCAAAGGAGCCAGGUUGGUAUUCAUACUAUCCCCCCUUUUAACCUCCUCCCCAGCCCUUUGGGUUUUAUUUUCUGUGGUGAUUGCAUCUCCAGCACACUGCUUUUUAUGUUCAUGAGGGACAGGGCUUCUUUAAUAGCUCUUGAACCUAACAAGCAUCCUAGUGGUUUGAUUUCAGUGUGAUUUAUUUGCCUUUCUUAUCAGGCUAACCAGAAUGCUUUUAUCAGCUAUGUUAACUUGUAACACAGUGGAAUUGGGUUUGCA
This is a long non-coding RNA of Callithrix jacchus (white-tufted-ear marmoset), 1865 nucleotides long. The record is from Ensembl. NCBI's taxonomy places the organism in Eukaryota, Metazoa, Chordata, Mammalia, Primates, Cebidae.